CCUACGGGAGGCAGCAGUGGGGAAUAUUGGACAAUGGGCGGAAGCCUGAUCCAGCAACGCCGCGUGAGGGAUGACUGCCUUCGGGUUGUAAACCUCUUUCAGCACAGACGAAGCGAAAGUGACGGUAUGUGCAGAAGAAGCACCGGCCAACUACGUGCCAGCAGCCGCGGUAAUACGUAGGGUGCGAGCGUUGUCCGGAAUUAUUGGGCGUAAAGGGCUCGUAGGCGGUUUGUCGCGUCGGGAGUGAAAACACACAGCUUAACUGUGUGCUUGCUUCCGAUACGGGCAGACUAGAGGUAUGCAGGGGAGAACGGAAUUCCUGGUGUAGCGGUGAAAUGCGCAGAUAUCAGGAGGAACACCGGUGGCGAAGGCGGUUCUCUGGGCAUUACCUGACGCUGAGGAGCGAAAGUGUGGGGAGCGAACAGGAUUAGAUACCCUGGUAGUCCACACCGUAAACGUUGGGCGCUAGGUGUGGGGCCUAUUCCAUGGGUUCCGUGCCGCAGCUAACGCAUUAAGCGCCCCGCCUGGGGAGGACGCCGCGAGACGAACUACAAGAAGUAGACGCGUGAGACGUCGCCGACGGCGACGACGAGGGAGGUUAGG
This 603-nucleotide ribosomal RNA is filed under the name uncultured bacterium. RNAcentral describes it as "bacterial SSU rRNA". The stretch from base 1 to 525 matches the Rfam family "Bacterial small subunit ribosomal RNA", at positions 338 to 873 of the family's 1533-position model. The record is from RNAcentral.